GGGGAGAUUAUUUUAUCGUCGCUAGCUAACUUUAAAACGAAUUAAUGAAGUGCAUUUCAUACUUGAGCACAGGUUUGAACCCUUUGGAGGAGAAACUGGAAUUAAAACGCCUUGGUGCCCACCAGCCUUGGGAUAUCAUCAGCACUCAAACUGCUGUUAAAAGUAACCGCGGUUUAACGUGGAGUGGUUAGCAUAGCCUACAACAUAAGUCAAGUUUGCCCAGAGGAAAACCCGCCGCAUCGCCGUUCUCUUCCAGCGGGCCAUCAGCCUCGUGAUUGCUGGAUCUCUCAGCCCGAGGCUGGAUGCUGCUUCAACGGAGACAGCUCAUCACGAUGAGUGACAAGUAUUGGGGGUGUGAACUCGACCAAUUGAGUAGGAGGAGAAGGGCGGAGCUGACGACACACUUCCUGCCUCAAGGCAUGAAGUUGUGUGUCAUUCCUGACAGCCGCCCAGCAGGAGGGGAACGCCACACUCCAUCUUGUGACCUUCGCGGGUGCUAACGUCGUUGCCAUGGCAGCAAGGCUUGAUGCUUUCUGACUGGUCUGAUUUGACCUCGACAGAAAUACGACUGCGGGCCUUUCAUCUCCCCCUUGUCC
Perca flavescens (yellow perch) is the source of this 596-nucleotide long non-coding RNA. RefSeq lists it as uncharacterized. The record is from RefSeq and is a predicted model, not a curated record. Lineage: Eukaryota; Metazoa; Chordata; Actinopteri; Perciformes; Percidae. The transcript has 3 exons.